CAGAGUUCGUGCCCCCCGGGGUAGACCUCCCACCCGUGUGAACGCUACCUUUGUUGCUUUGGUCGGCCGCGGGCUCGCCCCGCUACCAGCUCCGCGCCGGUACGCGCCGACCAGAGGCCCUAACUUCUGCGUCUUGUGCUGUCUAAGCCUGAUACAAAAAGAACA
This 165-nucleotide unclassified non-coding RNA is filed under the name uncultured Helotiales. Its description in RNAcentral is "sequence contains ITS1". The record is from RNAcentral. Lineage: Eukaryota; Fungi; Ascomycota; Leotiomycetes; Helotiales.